Molecule: ribosomal RNA, 388 nt
Filed under: uncultured bacterium SA5
Lineage: Bacteria
Description: bacterial SSU rRNA
Rfam family: Bacterial small subunit ribosomal RNA
Source: RNAcentral
AUUGAACGCUGGCGGCAUGCCUUACACAUGCAAGUCGAACGGUAACGCGGGGCAACCUGGCGACGAGUGGCGAACGGGUGAGUAAUGCAUCGGAACGUGCCCGGUAGUGGGGGAUAACUGCUCGAAAGAGCAGCUAAUACCGCAUACGACCUGAGGGUGAAAGGGGGGGAUCGAAAGACCUCUCGCUAUCGGAGCGGCCGAUGUCGGAUUAGCUAGUUGGUGGGGUAAAGGCCCACCAAGGCAACGAUCCGUAGCUGGUCUGAGAGGACGACCAGCCACACUGGGACUGAGACACGGCCCAGACUCCUACGGGAGGCAGCAGUGGGGAAUUUUGGACAAUGGACGCAAGUCUGAUCCAGCCAUGCCGCGUGCGGGAAGAAGGCCUUCG